GGCGAGGUAGCUCAGUCGGUUAGAGCGUUGGAUUCAUAACCCAAAGGUCGGGAGUUCAAAUCUCCCUCUCGCUA
This 74-nucleotide transfer RNA is filed under the name Flavobacterium sp. RNAcentral's name for it is "tRNA-Met". It matches the Rfam family "tRNA". Rfam says of the family: Transfer RNA (tRNA) molecules are approximately 80 nucleotides in length. Lineage: Bacteria; Pseudomonadati; Bacteroidota; Flavobacteriia; Flavobacteriales; Flavobacteriaceae. The record is from RNAcentral.